GACGAACGCUGGCGGCGUGCUUAACACAUGCAAGUCGAACGGAAAGGCCCUGCGUUUGUUGGGUUCUCGAUUGGCGAACGGGUGAGUAACACGUGAGUAACCUCCCCCUGACUGUGGGAUAACUUUAGGAAACUGGGGCUAAUACCCGAUAUAAGCUCUUGCAGCGUGGUGUGGGUUGGAGAGAUUCGGCCGUUGGGGCUGGAGUAGCGGCUUCUCCGCUUGUUGGGGGGGUAGUGGCUUACCAAGGCUUUGAAGGCAAGCGUGCCUGAGAGGGUGACCGGCCACAUUGGGACUGAGGUACGGCCCAGACUGCUACGGGAGGCAGCAGUGGGGAAUAUUGCACAAUGGGCGGAAGCCUGAUGCAGCAACGCCGCGUGCGGGAUAACGGCCUUCGGGGUGUAAACCGCUUUCGCCUGUGAUGAAGCGUGAGUGACGGUAAUGGGUAAAGAAGCACCGGCUAACUACGUG
Molecule: ribosomal RNA, 468 nt
Filed under: uncultured bacterium
Lineage: Bacteria
Description: partial 16S ribosomal RNA
Rfam family: Bacterial small subunit ribosomal RNA
Source: RNAcentral